AGAAAUUUCGAAAAAAGGUUCCGGCCGGAACACAAAAAAGUCUAAGGCAGAAAACCGCUGGGACUCUGAAAGAUGGGUUCGGGGCGAUCUAAGUCUCCACCACCAGACUGCAGCAUUACAAAAGUAAAAGUAAUUAAAAGUAAAAAGUUAAUAUGGUUAUUAGUGCGUUUCAUGUUUCCAUGAGUGGGAAACUGGUUAUGGGUUCAAAAGGAGAAUCGCUUUGUGUAAGGACAUACGCACCUUAAAAGAAAAAUUAGAGACAAAAGAAAAUACUUGAAAAAGCAAAACUAUCAAAACUAAAGCCCUAAAAGAAACAAGAGAGAUGAGAGUAACAGGAAAAAAGGAGAUAACAACUCUGGGGAAGAAUUGUUUGCAUACACCACACACACAUCAUGUUAAGAGCAAAUGCUCCCAUUGUUUCUGCUCUUUGUCCUAAUGCAGAACCGAGCGCGAUGAGGGUAAAUCCGGAUCUGGACUCCUUUCCCACCAUCAGCAGAAGAACCGAAGGAGAAGAAGCGCCUGUCCAACAACCAGAACAGGGUGGAAGCUCUGACACCACAGCAGCUGGAGGACACAGACCACAGCAUGGACGCCUCAGCGACUCUCACAACGUCUGCAGCCCUGCACCAGCAUGAAAGGACUGUGUCUGAAGCUUCUGAAGCCGUGAAAGUGUCAUACACGCGUGUGUGUCUGACAGACACCUGCUUAUGACAAUCAGCAAAGGAAAACAAGGACAGAGCAACAGCAGAGAAGACGUGCUCUGACACAGACACUGGUUGAAACAACAGGAGAGGCUUCAGACGUGAUCGGCCCAAUAGAGCUGCAUGCGAGGAUCCAGGAAAGGUCUGUCAUCGAGGAACAACUGUCCCAUCGAAAGGCUUCACCCACUGGCGCUCACAUCAGACUGAUGGUUGGAGAAGGAGGAAGGUGACGGUUCCUUUUCACGUGACGUACAAGACGGUACCGCAAACACACACACACACACAUUCAUACACGCAAUGAAGAAACACGCUUACAGCUGAUACACGCUCAAAUUCAUGUUCAUGCUUAUCUGCUCGCAAUGAAGAAUCGCUUUUUGCUCAAAAAAAAAUCCCAGAGUGAUUUUCAAAUUAUGACAAACAGCUAAAUGACAACUGCUGCAUGACUUUACAGUCUGAUGGGUUUAAACUAUUUUAACUUGCAACAAAUUCAGUAAUAAAAUCCUUCAUGUUUCUAAAAAUACUUGUGCA
RNAcentral lists this long non-coding RNA (1229 nucleotides) under Betta splendens (Siamese fighting fish). RNAcentral's name for it is "lncRNA (ENSBSLG00000007631.1)". The record is from RNAcentral. Lineage: Eukaryota; Metazoa; Chordata; Actinopteri; Anabantiformes; Osphronemidae.